RNAcentral lists this ribosomal RNA (1020 nucleotides) under Bacillus licheniformis. Its description in RNAcentral is "bacterial SSU rRNA". It matches the Rfam family "Bacterial small subunit ribosomal RNA", at positions 55 to 1056 of the family's 1533-position model. The record is from RNAcentral. Lineage: Bacteria; Bacillati; Bacillota; Bacilli; Caryophanales; Bacillaceae.
AUGCAAGUCGAGCGGACCGACGGGAGCUUGCUCCCUUAGGUCAGCGGCGGACGGGUGANUANCACGUGGGUAACCUGCCUGUAAGACUGGGAUAACUCCGGGAAACCGGGGCUAAUACCGGAUGCUUGAUUGAACCGCAUGGUUCAAUCAUNAAAGGCGGCUUCGGCUGCCGUUUACAGAUGGACCCGCGGCGCAUUAGCUAGUUGGUGAGGUAACGGCUCACCAAGGCGACGAUGCGUAGCCGACCUGAGAGGGUGAUCGGCCACACUGGGACUGAGACACGGCCCAGACUCCUACGGGAGGCAGCAGUAGGGAAUCUUCCGCAAUGGACGAAAGUCUGACGGAGCAACGCCGCGUGAGUGAUGAAGGUUUUCGGAUCGUAAAGCUCUGUUGUUAGGGAAGAACAAGUACCGUUCGAAUAGGGCGGUACCUUGACGGUACCUAACCAGAAAGCCACGGCUAACUACGUGCCAGCAGCCGCGGUAAUACGUAGGUGGCAAGCGUUGUCCGGAAUUAUUGGGCGUAAAGCGCGCGCAGGCGGUUUCUUAAGUCUGAUGUGAAAGCCCCCGGCUCAACCGGGGAGGGUCAUUGGAAACUGGGGAACUUGAGUGCAGAAGAGGAGAGUGGAAUUCCACGUGUAGCGGUGAAAUGCGUAGAGAUGUGGAGGAACACCAGUGGCGAAGGCGACUCUCUGGUCUGUAACUGACGCUGAGGCGCGAAAGCGUGGGGAGCGAACAGGAUUAGAUACCCUGGUAGUCCACGCCGUAAACGAUGAGUGCUAAGUGUUAGAGGGUUUCCGCCCUUUAGUGCUGCAGCAAACGCAUUAAGCACUCCGCCUGGGGAGUACGGUCGCAAGACUGAAACUCAAAGGAAUUGACGGGGGCCCGCACAAGCGGUGGAGCAUGUGGUUUAAUUCGAAGCAACGCGAAGAACCUUACCAGGUCUUGACAUCCUCUGACANCCCUAGAGAUAGGGCUUCCCCUUCGGGGGCAGAGUGAAAAGGUGGUGCAUGAUGUCGUC